RNAcentral lists this ribosomal RNA (301 nucleotides) under uncultured bacterium. Its description in RNAcentral is "partial 16S ribosomal RNA". It matches the Rfam family "Bacterial small subunit ribosomal RNA", at positions 509 to 809 of the family's 1533-position model. The record is from RNAcentral.
CAGCCUCCGCGGUAAAACGUAGGUGGCAAGCGUUGUCCGGAAUUAUUGGGCGUAAAGGGCUCGCAGGCGGUUUCUUAAGUCUGAUGUGAAAGCCCCCGGCUCAACCGGGGAGGGUCAUUGGAAACUGGGAGACUUGAGUGCAGAAGAGGAGAGUGGAAUUCCACGUGUAGCGGUGAAAUGCGUAGAGAUGUGGAGAAACACCAGUGGCGAAGGCGACUCUCUGGUCUGUAACUGACGCUGAGGAGCGAAAGCGUGGGGAGCGAACAGGAUUAGAGACCCCCGUAGUCCCUGUCUCUUAUAA